RNAcentral lists this ribosomal RNA (296 nucleotides) under uncultured bacterium. RNAcentral's name for it is "partial 16S ribosomal RNA". It matches the Rfam family "Bacterial small subunit ribosomal RNA", at positions 501 to 793 of the family's 1533-position model. The record is from RNAcentral.
CUCCGUGCCAGCAGCCGCGGUAAUACGGAGGAUCCAAGCGUUAUCCGGAAUCAUUGGUUUAAAGGGUCCGUAGGUGGAUUAGUAAAGUCAGAGGUGAAAUACCUGCAGCUCAACUGUAGAACUGCCUUUGAUACUGCUAGUCUUUGAGUCAUUAUGAAGUGGUUAGAAUGUGUAGUGUAGCGGUGAAAUGCAUAGAUAUUACACAGAAUAACCGAUUGCGAAGGCAGAUCACUAAUAAUGUACUGACACUGAUGGACGAAAGCGUGGGGAGCGAACAGGAUUAGAUACCCUGGUAG